Molecule: ribosomal RNA, 383 nt
Filed under: uncultured bacterium
Lineage: Bacteria
Description: bacterial SSU rRNA
Rfam family: Bacterial small subunit ribosomal RNA
Source: RNAcentral
GACGAACGCUGGCGGCGUGCUUAACACAUGCAAGUCGAGCGGUAAGGCCCUUUCGGGGGUACACGAGCGGCGAACGGGUGAGUAACACGUGGGUGACCUGCCCUCAGCUCUGGGAUAAGCCUGGGGAAACCGGGUCUAAUACCGGAUAUGACUCCAUGACGCAUGUUGUGGGGUGGAAGGCCUUGUGCGGCUGAGGAUGGGCCCGCGGCCUAUCAGCUUGUUGGUGGGGUGAUGGCCUACCAAGGCGACGACGGGUAGCCGGCCUGAGAGGGCGACCGGCCACACUGGGACUGAGACACGGCCCAGACUCCUACGGGAGGCAGCAGUGGGGAAUCUUGCGCAAUGGGGGAAAGCCUGACGCAGCGACGCCGCGUGAGGGAUGA